Molecule: long non-coding RNA, 5322 nt
Organism: Gallus gallus (chicken)
Lineage: Eukaryota; Metazoa; Chordata; Aves; Galliformes; Phasianidae
Exons: 5
Source: RefSeq, a predicted model, not a curated record
GGCAACCGGCUUGGAAUCGCCCAGCUGUCCCCUCAGACGGCAGCCCGUGGCCGUCCCCUUCGCCGUGGGAUGCGGGGAUUUGGGGCGGCUGAAGGAGUCGGGGCCCCCACCACCGCUAGCGCUGCUGCCCUCACAGGGGCCGGGCCCCCCCGAGCCUCCAGUGCUUGUUGAGGUUUCAGUCUCCAUUCUGCUGAUCCGAAAGAAAGAAGGCGGCUUUUGGAGGACUUGAUCAUCGCGAGUCGAGCUGCUGCUGAACCUCCCCUUCCAACAUCCAGCAGGUUUGUUCUGCAGGCCCCAAUGAUGGCACAGGCAUGAAAGAGCCCAGAGCUCGUCGCUGGGGAGAGGCUGCGUAUGGCGUUGUGAAGGGAGAGAUGGAGGAGGGGUUUGAGCAGCGCUGUGCAGGAAUGAACGGCUGGUAAGAGAAGAGGCAGGAGUCGGGCAGCGGUACUGCAGCUCCUCUGGCAGCUUUGCAGCUCAGUAGGGAAGCAGAAGAUGUGGAUGUGAAAGAAGAAGUCCGUUGCUGGGACGUUCCCCUGUUCUUCCCCCAGCUGUCCCCUUGCUUUCCACAAGGCUGCCCUUUCCUUUCUCAUGACAGCCCACCCAUCAUUCCCUCAGAGCCCAUAUAUCCCUCCCAGUGUUUCCCAGCAAGACCCCUAGAGACACCCUGUAGCCCCCCACAGAGCCCUGGAGCCCCUCAAGGACCCCCUCAGACGCAGUACACCUCCCCCAUAGCUGGCCCAUAGCCACAUGGAGCCCCACAGUCCCCAGCAGCACCCCAUGUCCCCCACUGGGCUUCCACGGAAUCCUUCUAUUUCCUCCCUCAGACCUCCUUUACACCUCCAAGAUCCUCCCUGGGAACUCACUAACCCCCAUGUUCCCUGACAGGACCCCCAUCACCAUCCCAGGACCCCCAUAGCCCACCUUUGGCCUCUCCUCCCCCCGACCUGCCUCCAGAUCCCGUACAACCUCACAGUGCUGUGGCAGGGCUGGCUUCUGCAGGUGAGGAAUGAGGAGCUGGAGAAGGUGUAGGGCACAGAUGUGGGUCUCAGAAAGUGAAGUGGGUGGUACUGGGGAUACUGGGGAACACGGAUCAGAACAUGGGAGGAUUUGGGGAGGAUAAGGGGAUGUGGACCACAGCCUACAGGAGCAGAGUGCUUCACAGGAGAAGGCAAGGUGUGAGGUACAGGUGGGACUUGUGGGUGCGGGGACGUCAGGUGGCAUGGGUACGUGGGGGGUCUGGGGGCUCGUGGGGAGCGGUUUGGGGUCAGAACGGAGGAUGUGGAGUAGUGCUGGAGUGCAUUCAUUGAUUUCUUCCUGAGAGGGGAUUGGGGUUCCCUGCAGCCCAAAGGUGGAGCCCUGAUCCAUAACCCCACAUGAGCCCAGUACCACAUACUACUCCGCGUGACCCCGAGGCUCCACAUGACCCAUAACCCUGUGAGCACCAUAACCCCAUAUGAGGCUGUGGGCAGGGAUGGGUCUGUUCCUGGCUUGUUCAGGGGGUACUAUAAGGUGGCUCUGGGGCCACUGUAGGUCAGCAGCCUGAAUAAUCCUCUGACGCUCAUCUUGCCCUCAUCUUGGGGGGCCAAAUGGAGGUCGAGGGGUUUGUUGGGGGUAAGGAAGAGGCUCCAUGCGUGUAUCCCAUAGCUGCCCAGAGCAGCCCCAGAGCCAUCGUAGAGCUGCCCCAGAGCAGCCCCAUCACUGCCCGCAGCCCGUGGCCAGCAGCAGUUCCACCAGCAGCAGUGUGUUGGGUAAAGGCAGCUCCCAGGUGUGGCUCUGCUCCAAAGCUGCCCCAAAGUGCUCCUGAAGCCCUCCCAUAGGCGUCCUUUAGCUGCCCCACAACACCAUAAGGCUUCCCUACAUCCCAGCACAUCAACCCAAGUGCCAGUGGGGUGUGCGAGAAACGCUCACAUCCCUGAUGUUCCACCAGGCACAGCUCUCAGUGCAGCAGCAAAGCUCAUUCCUGAUUGCUGUGGCGUUACUGCACUCUCCUCUGUGAGCUCCUUCUGCUCCUGUAGCUCUCCUCCCAUGGCACCCACUGCUCUCCUGUUCCCCCUUGGCUGGGCACUGCAGGCUCACAGUCUCCACCACGCAUCCGCUGUGCAGUUUUUCCAGGUGUCGUCUAUGGCCAACGUGUUCCUUUCGGGCUGAUUGUGUGCUUUUCUAUGCCGACAGGCAGGCAGGAUUUCUUGCAGCUGUUGCACGUGCUGGGUCUCAUGCUCCGUCCUGCAGCUGUGCCUUAUCUCGUGUGCACUCUCCACCUCCCCCUGGUCAGAACGUCCUGGCCCUGCUGUGCUCUGCUCAGCAUCUGUCUGCUGCACGAUGACACAGCCGUCACACUGAGCCUGCCUUGUGCUAUCCCUGCAGAUGUUCGGAUGAUUUCCUCUGCCACUCUCCCACCCGUAACUGCUCGGGUGCUUUCCAGCAGCACACAGCUGGCACACAGAGCCAUGCUGACCACGGCAGGGUGCAGCUCCUUGUUGCAGUCCCGUAGCGGUGGGUGGCCGUGCCAAAGGGGGAUCCCACCGCUGCUGCUCCCCAUCCUUCUGCGCUCGUUCUGCACCACCGUGCAUUCCUUUUCCUCGUGCUGCGCUGCCCUCAGAGUGCUCUGCCCAUUUCUCGGGGUCGUUGCAGCAGCUGCUGCAAGUGCAGAUGUUGGAGCAGUUUCUUCCCCACCGCGAGAUGCCUUCCAAGAGGCACUGCCCCUACUGCUGCAACGGCCCCAGUCUGGGACGCCCUUUUGUAAGGGGUUGUGUUGUUUGUUCUGCAGCUGACUUGGGUUUCUUCUGCCACUGUCCCAUGAAAGAGUUGAUUUGCUUCAGUCCAUCCCUGCUCCGUUCUUGGUUCAAGCCAAGCUCCAGUCCCUUCCCUGGUCUCAGUGGGAUCAGUUUGUUCUGUUCUCAUGCACUUACAGAAACAGAAGCUACCAACCCACCAAACCCUGGGACAGGUAUUUCCCUACAGAAGCAUUCAUGUCCUUCUCCUGGCCCCUUUGGCCAAUUCCCAGCUCUCCAAACUGAGGCGUAUGGCUGCAGCCCUCCCCAUGGCUUCUUUGGGGCAGCUGUGGGGCAGCCUCACCCCGAGAAGGAGAUGCCUUUUCCCCACACGCAGCUGGUUCUACGUCCACAUGAGGUGACAUGCUGUUUCUAUGGCAUGAAAACAUGCUGUUUCUAUGGCAACAUCAGGUGAGGACAUGGGGUCGUGGGUCACAUGGGGGUCCUGCAGGGUCACAGAGUUACGGGGUUAUGUGUGGCUAUGGGUUUAGAUGGGGUUUCGAAUCACAGUGAUAGGGUCAGAUUGGAUGGUAGGGUCAGAUGGGGUGACAUGGAGUUACGGAUCACAUGGGUGGUAUGGUCGGGGUGAGGUGGGGGCAGGGAUCCCAGAGUUAUGGGCCACAUGGCGUCGGGUCAUAGCGUGAUGGGGGCAGGCAGAGUCAGGGAGUCACAGGAUCAUGUGGGGAUAUGGUUCCCCCAGGGCUCUGGGUCACGUGCAGCCAUGGGGUCACGCACAUAGAGGGCGAUGAGGUCAUCUUGGUUUAUGGCUCAUGUGGGGUUACGGCUCAGGGCCCCACCUUUGGGCCACAGGGACACCCAGUCCCCUCUCAGGAUGAAAUGAAACCACUGCAAACUCUGCCCCCUUCCUCUUUUUACCUCAAACCACUCCCCACAUCCUCCCAUACUCUCUAUGUCCCCAUACUACCCCAUACCCCUGUGUCCCACCUGCAGCCCACGUCUUGUCUUCUCCUGAACAGCAUUCUGCUCCUGCAGCCUGUGUUCCCACAUCCCUUAAUGUCCCUAUAUCCACCAAACACACCCCCAGAGAGCCCUAUAGCUCCUCAAGGACCUUCUCAGACUCAGUACAUCUCCCCUACAGACAAGCUGGGCCAUCACAGGCUCCUGCAGUCCCCAGCAGCAGCCCACAUCCCCCUCUGAGCUCCCGCUGAAACCCCUUGUUUUCUUCCUCACACCUCCCUUACCCCCUCAGUCCUCUCCUGGGAUCUCAGAGUCCCACAGUCCGUGACAGGACCCCCAUUACCAUCCCAGGAUCCCCAUAGCCCACCAACGAGGAACCCCGCAGCAAUCCACAUCUCAGGAUGGGGCUCCAGCUGUGCACCAAUGCGUUCAUUCAAGAGAGGAGAAUGAAUGAGCGUAAAGGGGGGCCUUUCCUCCUGACGUUGCCCACCGCCUGCGUGUUGGCUGUGCCGUGCCAGCAGCAUUUUGUCCUCGAGCUGUGAGUGCAGAAAACGCCGUCCUUUUGCUGAACUUUGCUCAUUGUACACCCGCCAUCACAGCAAAAAACGCUCAGUGCUGCCCUGGGAAACUCAGCAAUCUCCACAGCGUUGCUCUCCAAGUUAGCACGCUCAUGGCCAGGCUGUGUUCCCUGCAGCUCUUUGCACGUGCUUUGCAGACAGUCUGUCUGUGGGCAGUGCAAAGGACUGCUGCCUCCGUUGCAUCACUGGACGGCAGCAUUCACUGACGGAGCUGUGGCAGUUCUGAGCGAGCGCCGCGAGACCAAUAACGAGGAGGUGGUGCAGCAGCUCUCCGAGUGCCGCUGGACAAAUCAGGCCGUGCGCUCUCUGUGAAUCUCUCAUUGUGACUGGUUUUUAUUGACUACGUUUGAAGGUGGAGUGCCGAGUUGGGCGGCACUCAGCACUGCCCUGUAACGCCGCGCACUGCAGAAGCUGCUGCCUGCUGACGCUCCUCCUCUCAGUCCUUCAGCUGCAGCUUCUGCAUCAUCUCCACAAGGCUGUCAACUGCGGAGGCCUGGGAAGAAACGGAGCGAGGGUAGAAACAGGACACCACUUCCCUCGGGAUUUUACAGUCUCCUCCUUUCAUGUGUGACAGACGGAGGCCCUGAGAACAACAAGAGCCGUGUCUGUGUUCACCAAGGACUCACCUCUGCACGUGCAGCGGCAGCUCUGAGGGCAGCCUUCUUCAGCUCCACUCUCCUCUCUUUUCGUUGUCGUCUUCUUUCUGUAAGGCAAGAAAAAUAGAUGAAUGCAUUUUGUCUACAGUGAAAUGGCAGAAACAUGGGUGCCGUACAAGCAGAAGGCAGCAAAAAGACAGAGGAAAUGGGACUAGGAAGCCUCCCAGUGAAUGACAUUUCCAGGAGGCGUGCAGAAGACUGCCAUAGAGUUAACGGGAAGAGACAGGGUUACACGUUCUGGCACCUCACUGCCUUUGGACUUUGUAGCCUUCCACUCUUUUCCCCUCCAUGGAGAAGGAAAAAGCAAAGCCAACCCUAAGCAAACUCAGUGUGCUCGCACAGGGAAGCGCCUCAGCACGGCGGGUACCACAGCACCUUCUCACCUCUUUGCUUGGAGCU